Tympanuchus pallidicinctus (lesser prairie-chicken) is the source of this 3838-nucleotide long non-coding RNA. RefSeq lists it as uncharacterized. Lineage: Eukaryota; Metazoa; Chordata; Aves; Galliformes; Phasianidae. The transcript has 2 exons. The record is from RefSeq and is a predicted model, not a curated record.
CUGGAAUUUUCUAACCCUUCAGGGCAGAAGUACGAAGGGAGAGAUUCAAUCAAGGCAGCAGCAUAAGCUGCCAAGUCUUUGGACAGGAAUAAGAGAAAUCUUCAGCUGCUAGUGCUAAUCCUCCCAGUGUUACAAUUUGCUCAGAGCACUGCCAAUCAUUUUUACUUUUUUAGCACACUGCAUUCCCGUAUGAUUUUCUUUUCUUUUCUUUUCUUUUUUUUUUUUUUUUUUUUCCUGUGGGAUUUGAAUAAUUGGAAAUUACUCUCUGAAGCUGUGGAGAAAUUUCCCUGUUGAAGCAUUGCAGUGUCAAGCCCUACACAACUGGCAUGGCCUGAUAUUACUGCAUUGCUUGAGUUAAGGUUUGCCUAAUACUAAAUGAGAACUUUUUUUUUUGGAGGGAAGUUAUUCAAAGAUGGUAAAUUUUAAAUAACAAGGUGUGAAUGACUGAUAAAAAUGGUGUAACAAAUGUUUUGUAGAAUCCUCCUACAUUUUAGAGCAGUGCAGAGUAUCUGGAACUAGAGAAGUUCCCAGAAUUUUGCUUAAAACAACAACAACAAAAGGCUCCUGUUUCUUCUCAGCUUGAAACCACCUGAUCCUCAUCUAAACCUAGAAGACUGACAUUCUCUUUGUUCUCCGCUUCAAUCAAUUAAGAAUACGUACACAGCUUUUUUGAAUCUACUUACUGCUUACUUAUGACAUUAGAAGGAUGUUCCAAACUGGUGGUCACUGAAUUCUUUUACUUAAAUCAAAACAUUCUGUAGAAAUCUAAAUUUAACCAUCUUUUCUUUCCCCGAGACUGAUAAUAAGCAGGCUUAUAAACUAAAGAGAUACUGUAUCUUUUUUCAGUACAGUGCAAAGACAGAACUGCAUCGUAUACUUAGGCUAGCAGAUAGAGGCCAAAUUCAGUCUUCUGGUGCAUUCUUUGGGAUCAUAUUGAACUCAAUGAGAACCACCUGCACACAGAAUUUGACCCCAAAAUGAAAGCCUAGCCAGAGAUUUGAUUGGAAUUACUUGACUUAGAAGUGAAAUAGUCUUUUUUUUUUUUUUUUAAUAGUAUUUUUUGAAGUAUAUGUAGUAGUAAUAGUAAGUACUAGUAAUAAGGAAAAAUAAGUAACAAUUUCUCUACAGAAUUUGUAAGAAAAAAAAUUAGAAUUACUUUUGGAAAGUAGUGAUGGCCUGCUGCGUUGUACUGUCUUUUUAAAAGUGUCAUUUUCCAGUGGAAUAUCUGAGACAUUAUGUUUGAGAUAUCAGGGCCUUCUGAUGCCUCAUGAAUUCACCUGAGGAACAGUCUGAAAAUCAGCUGAGUCUCAUUUGGUACUAGGACACUAGCUGGUCUCUAGCUGUUCUACAAUCAACAAAUAACUUCACCUACCCUACACUGUAGGUAACUUGUUUGUAAUGUCUUGUUAAAUUACAAAAUGUAUGUUAAAAAUUUGUCUCCUACAACUGAAAAACUUGGUCAAAAAUUUCUUAAAUUUCAUCAAUUCAUCAAUUGGUUAUGGUAAUAACAAAGUGCAAACAUUCUUUUACUUAAUAUGUACCUACCCAUGUGCCCAUCAACAAAAUAACACGGCAUCUGAGGUCAGAAAAUCCUCAUUUCACUUGCCUUGUAAAUAGUAAAGUUGAAAGAAGAACCCUUGAAAUAUUUCAUAUAUUCAUGUACUUGAAAGUGAAACUUUCAUUUAAUAAAAGUGUGAUCUUGAACAGUUGGAAAGUGUGAGUGAUUAAAACGUACACUAAACUUUUGAAAUAUAAUUUCUCUCUCCUUCUCUUUCUUUGUCUGCUUUGUAAUGAGAAAAACAUGAGUGAAUAGUACAGGCAGCUCAAAGGUGUGUACUUAAAAUCAAGUGACUGGAUACCAGUGGUAUUUUUAGGGACGUGGGAGACAUUGACUUAAAUCAAGGACUGAAACCACUAGAACCUGUUCUUAGGCAUAUUCUCAUUCGCCUUCUACCCUUCUCCUUCCAUUCCUCCUCUUUGCUAAAAAAGUGUUUGAUUAAAUAGAAGAGCUCUCUUGAUUUUUGAAUAGUUACUUAUUUGGGGCCAAAUCAGAUACCUUUUCUCAGAGUGAGUAGUACCCUCCUCCACAAGAGUCCUUAAGAUUGCAGUAGUACUAAUGGCAGUGUAAGGUGUUCCUUCAGAUAUACAUUCAAAGAGAGCAGUGCACAAUUUUCAAAAGCAGAUUGAAAGCUUAGUUCAUAGCAGGAACCAUCCUGAUUUUGGAAAUUUCUCAGAGUGUAAUAGAUCACAUAUAUUUGAACUACAGACAGCUUCUUUAGUUUGACCACUACUACCUAUCAAGCAAUGUUUGACUUUAAGCACUCACUGGAGAUUGUAUGUUUCCGUUCCAAACAGUCUUCUCUUUGUUUUUAUUCUUCAGGAAUGUGAACAUGAAUCCUAAAAGCCCCAACAGGCUACAAAUAAGUCCAAAAUAUAGCUACUGUAGGCCUGCAAUUUAUUUCUUUGAUUAUUAGUCAUAUUUAGUGAGUGGGUAGAAUUUUGUUUUCUGAAAGUGCUUCAUACAGUUUAUUGAGUUAGUUGAAAUUAGCAGAAAAAAUAACUGGCAGAAUUGCCUGCCUCUUGGCCUGAGGGCUAGGAGCACAUGAAUGCACUCAAGUCAGUAUCUCCCAGAUGGCAUCCCCAUUGCUGUACCCACUUGAGUCAAGGGACAAGAAGUAAGUACUCCUUUGAAGUACUACAUUAAACAAGAGAUAAGGAACAGUAAACUUAACUGAAACCUAACUGAUGUCAAACAAUUCUGUCUUCCCAUGCACAAUUAGCAGCUGCCGAAACUGUCUUUCAACCUGUAUAAUGUAAUCAUGACAACAAUCAACCAAGCCCUGGCUUUUUUUUUCCUCUUCCCAUGUUAUUCUUUUGCUUCAUCUGAUCUUCCCUAUAAAGCUGAGUGAUAAGACUUUGCAAUUCCAUCUAUGUGUCAGAAGAAACAGUGCACAAGGUAAUGACAGGUUUUGUCACCAUAGUAGUGGCUGUAAACAGUUCCCAAGCUUCCUGUUCCUGAAUGAUGUUGCAGUGGCUUCCUGCAAUUACACAACACAUUGUCAUGCAGAUUAGCUACGGGUCACUGCAUGAGGAUAGGAAACUUCAGAGGUUUCUGUUCAACCUGUCAGGUUGGUAAAUCUAACAUAAGGUCGGGAUCACCUCCAGCAUUUCCAUCCAUAGAGUUUAUUGCAGAUACUCUCUGAGAAGGGGGUGUGAAAGGAAUUGUACUGUUUCACUAAGGAAAUGCUCCAAAUGCCUGUUUUAAGAAUGAACAUUCAGAGUCUAAAUCCUUGUAGGCUUGUAGGAGUGUAGAAGUGUUCCUUCUGGAAAAACAGGAGAGUUGAAGACCCUCAUGUCUUCAACUACAGACCCUCUGGUCUGUAUUUCUCUGAAAAGGGGAUGUAACUACAGUUUUUGAGAAUGAACAGACAGUGAAUGUGUGGCUUCUUCAUUAAUAUGUCAGGGACAAACCCGUGGAAGAGAUGUGCUCCCUUGGGCUCAGAAGAUGGCGUUUAACAGUGAUCUUUUUAUGUGUCUAGAGUUAGGGGAAAUAUCACAGAACCUCUAAGAGCUGAGGAAGAGACAUCAGAGAUAACCUGUAAAGCUAAAUUUAGAAAGGGGAAGCUGAGAAAAAGGUUGAGGCUAACAUAAGCAAGGAAGGAAUCUGUCACAGGCUGACUGUCUGUGAUUUAGCAAAUCUCACACAUACAAAGUAAAUUACAAUUAAUUUGGACUAAACCACAUGCUGAUAUAAUAAUAUAAGCCACGUAUACUCAAAAGAACAAAUGCUGAUUGUAUUUAAAAUUAAAAAAAAAAAAAAAAAAAAAACACCAAAAAA